AUAGAGAUGCUGACUCUUACAGGUAGCAUCUUCUCUAUCUUUUAUUGAAGGUUGUAGUUGUAGGCUUGUAGCAUGAUAGAUUAAAUAUCUAAUAUGCCUAGAAGAUGAUCUAAUUGUGUAGAUCUGUUGUCAUUGAAGAGCUGAUAUGGGCUGAAUUCGUAAAUAUGGAUAUAAAAUUUAUUAAAAUGGGCUGCUUUAGGAACGUUUCCUGAGACAAAAAUCAUAGGAAGGCAUUUUCUGGAUUGUCAUUGAAAAUAAAUACAUAUUUUCAUUAAAAUCCAUAACAAUGUACUUGAUCAUAUCAUUCAUGUGCUAUAUUUAUUCACUUCUGUUUUCUUUCAUUCUAUACUUGUAUUAUAUUUUCUAAGGUCAGAGUUGCAUGAGUUAUGUUAUCCCCGUUGUGCAUGGCUGUGAUUUCAGUUUUCUUAGGGUGUUGAUUUUUUGUGUGCUUGCACACAUGCAUGUGUUUGUAUGUGUGUUUCUCCAAUGGAAAUUGGCCUUCAGUUGUGACCAAUUUUACUUUCUUCUUGUAGGUCACCUUGGUCAAAUAAAUAU
This 555-nucleotide unclassified non-coding RNA is filed under the name Hevea brasiliensis (rubber tree). The record is from RNAcentral. Lineage: Eukaryota; Viridiplantae; Streptophyta; Magnoliopsida; Malpighiales; Euphorbiaceae.